RNAcentral lists this non-coding RNA (97 nucleotides) under Paraburkholderia xenovorans LB400. Lineage: Bacteria; Pseudomonadati; Pseudomonadota; Betaproteobacteria; Burkholderiales; Burkholderiaceae. RNAcentral also lists the same sequence under 1 other name. The record is from RNAcentral.
UCUCAUGGGCGGGCCUUGGCGGGGGAGCCUCAAGGCUCACCGGUUGUUGGUUCUACGUGCCGGUCUGCGAAUCCCGUCAUUGUGCCCGCUCACCAAC